This 571-nucleotide ribosomal RNA is filed under the name uncultured bacterium. RNAcentral describes it as "bacterial SSU rRNA". It matches the Rfam family "Bacterial small subunit ribosomal RNA", at positions 102 to 661 of the family's 1533-position model. The record is from RNAcentral.
AAGGGGCAGUAAGGCGUGGAUAACGUACCCCCGAGACUGGGAUAACCACGUGAAAACGUGGCUAAUACCGGGUAACGCAGCGGAGUCGCAUGGCUCUGCUGCCAAAGGUGUGAAUCCGUUCGGGGAGCGGUUCACGUGCUAUUAGCUUGUUGGCGGGGUAACGGCCCACCAAGGCUGAGAUGGCUAGCGGGUGUGAGAGCACGACCCGCGCCACUGGCACUGAGACACUGGCCAGACACCUACGGGUGGCUGCAGUCGAGGAUCUUCGGCAAUGGGCGCAAGCCUGACCGAGCGACGCCGCGUGUGGGAUGAAGGCCUUCGGGUUGUAAACCACUGUCGAGGGGGAUGAAGGGUAGGUGGGUACUCCCAUCUAUCACGCUUGACACAUCCCUGGAGGAAGCACGGGCUAAGUUCGUGCCAGCAGCCGCGGUAAGACGAACCGUGCAAACGUUGUUCGGAUUCACUGGGCUUAAAGGGCGCGUAGGCGGCUUGGCAAGUCUGUGGUGAAAUCUUUCGGCUCAACCGGAAAAUGGCCAUGGAUACUGCUAGGCUCGAGGGAGGUAGGGGUCGC